UAGGGAAUCUUCCACAAUGGGCGCAAGCCUGAUGGAGCAACACCGCGUGAGUGAAGAAGGGUUUCGGCUCGUAAAGCUCUGUUGUUAAAGAAGAACACGUAUGAGAGUAACUGUUCAUACGUUGACGGUAUUUAACCAGAAAGUCACGGCUAACUACGUGCCAGCAGCCGCGGUAAUACGUAGGUGGCAAGCGUUAUCCGGAUUUAUUGGGCGUAAAGAGAGUGCAGGCGGUUUUCUAAGUCUGAUGUGAAAGCCUUCGGCUUAACCGGAGAAGUGCAUCGGAAACUGGAUAACUUGAGUGCAGAAGAGGGUAGUGGAACUCCAUGUGUAGCGGUGGAAUGCGUAGAUAUAUGGAAGAACACCAGUGGCGAAGGCGGCUACCUGGUCUGCAACUGACGCUGAGACUCGAAAGCAUGGGUAGCGAACAGGAUUAGAUACCCUGGUAGUCCAUGCCGUAAACGAUGAGUGCUAGGUGUUGGAGGGUUUCCGCCCUUCAGUGCCGGAGCUAACGCAUUAAGCACUCCGCCUGGGGGAGUACGACCGCAAGGUUGAAAC
RNAcentral lists this ribosomal RNA (555 nucleotides) under uncultured bacterium. RNAcentral describes it as "partial 16S ribosomal RNA". It matches the Rfam family "Bacterial small subunit ribosomal RNA", at positions 355 to 900 of the family's 1533-position model. The record is from RNAcentral.